UCCACAAGGGGGUUCGGCGGCCGAAACUCCCUUCGGCGGCCGAACCUGGUUUCUGCCAGAAGGGCAGAAACUUGGUUCACAUGAACCCCUUGCCUCCCAAAACCUCAAAUCAUGCAUAAAUCUCAACCAAAACAUGCAUACAAGUUCCUAGGGGUCUCAAACAGUCAUAUACCCCAACUACAACACUUCAAACACACACAAUCAACACACAUUGUUCAAAACAUCAAUAUUAACCCAUAACUCAACAUAUAACCUAACAUGCAUUUCUACCCAUAGAUCUUGCAUAAAACUUAUUUAAAACACAUAAGGAGCUUAAGAUCGGCUCUUACCUCUUGAAGAUCGAGAGGGAGACGACCUAAACUUGGAGAUCCACGAAAAUGAGCUCCUGAGUUCCCAAAGCUCCAAAACUUGGUUUAAAUGUUCAAAACUUGCAAUGUGAGUUUAAAACUCAAGAAAAAUGGAAGAGAUUUGGAGGAAGAACACAAGAGUUGCAAAGGGAAGGUCGGAA
Molecule: long non-coding RNA, 508 nt
Filed under: Manihot esculenta (cassava)
Lineage: Eukaryota; Viridiplantae; Streptophyta; Magnoliopsida; Malpighiales; Euphorbiaceae
Description: long non-coding RNA (MESC_LNC003052)
Source: RNAcentral